This 1587-nucleotide ribosomal RNA is filed under the name Salmonella enterica. RNAcentral's name for it is "partial 23S ribosomal RNA". It matches the Rfam family "Bacterial large subunit ribosomal RNA", at positions 711 to 2280 of the family's 2925-position model. The record is from RNAcentral. Lineage: Bacteria; Pseudomonadati; Pseudomonadota; Gammaproteobacteria; Enterobacterales; Enterobacteriaceae.
AGACCCGAAACCCGGUGAUCUAGCCAUGGGCAGGUUGAAGGUUGGGUAACACUAACUGGAGGACCGAACCGACUAAUGUUGAAAAAUUAGCGGAUGACCUGUGGCUGGGGGUGAAAGGCCAAUCAAACCGGGAGAUAGCUGGUUCUCCCCGAAAGCUAUUUAGGUAGCGCCUCGUGAAUUCAUCUCCGGGGGUAGAGCACUGUUUCGGCUAGGGGGCCAUCCCGGCUUACCAACCCGAUGCAAACUGCGAAUACCGGAGAAUGUUAUCACGGGAGACACACGGCGGGUGCUAACGUCCGUCGUGAAGAGGGAAACAACCCAGACCGCCAGCUAAGGUCCCAAAGUCAUGGUUAAGUGGGAAACGAUGUGGGAAGGCCCAGACAGCCAGGAUGUUGGCUUAGAAGCAGCCAUCAUUUAAAGAAAGCGUAAUAGCUCACUGGUCGAGUCGGCCUGCGCGGAAGAUGUAACGGGGCUAAACCAUGCACCGAAGCUGCGGCAGCGACACUUUAGUGUUGUUGGGUAGGGGAGCGUUCUGUAAGCCGUUGAAGGUGUCCUGUGAGGGGUGCUGGAGGUAUCAGAAGUGCGAAUGCUGACAUAAGUAACGAUAAAGCGGGUGAAAAGCCCGCUCGCCGGAAGACCAAGGGUUCCUGUCCAACGUUAAUCGGGGCAGGGUGAGUCGACCCCUAAGGCGAGGCCGAAAGGCGUAGUCGAUGGGAAACGGGUUAAUAUUCCCGUACUUGGUGUUACUGCGAAGGGGGGACGGAGAAGGCUAUGUUGGCCGGGCGACGGUAGUCCCGGUUUAAGCGUGUAGGCUGGUUUUCCAGGCAAAUCCGGAAAAUCAAGGCUGAGGCGUGAUGACGAGGCACCACGGUGCUGAAGCAACAAAUGCCCUGCUUCCAGGAAAAGCCUCUAAGCAUCAGGUAACAUCAAAUCGUACCCCAAACCGACACAGGUGGUCAGGUAGAGAAUACCAAGGCGCUUGAGAGAACUCGGGUGAAGGAACUAGGCAAAAUGGUGCCGUAACUUCGGGAGAAGGCACGCUGACACGUAGGUGAAGUGAUUUACUCAUGGAGCUGAAGUCAGUCGAAGAUACCAGCUGGCUGCAACUGUUUAUUAAAAACACAGCACUGUGCAAACACGAAAGUGGACGUAUACGGUGUGACGCCUGCCCGGUGCCGGAAGGUUAAUUGAUGGGGUCAGCGCAAGCGAAGCUCCUGAUCGAAGCCCCGGUAAACGGCGGCCGUAACUAUAACGGUCCUAAGGUAGCGAAAUUCCUUGUCGGGUAAGUUCCGACCUGCACGAAUGGCGUAAUGAUGGCCAGGCUGUCUCCACCCGAGACUCAGUGAAAUUGAACUCGCUGUGAAGAUGCAGUGUACCCGCGGCAAGACGGAAAGACCCCGUGAACCUUUACUAUAGCUUGACACUGAACAUUGAGCCUUGAUGUGUAGGAUAGGUGGGAGGCUUUGAAGCGUGGACGCCAGUCUGCGUGGAGCCGACCUUGAAAUACCACCCUUUAAUGUUUGAUGUUCUAACGUGGACCCGUAAUCCGGGUUGCGGACAGUGUCUGGUGGGUAGUUUGACUGGGGC